Nycticebus coucang (slow loris) is the source of this 864-nucleotide long non-coding RNA. RefSeq lists it as uncharacterized. The transcript is spliced from 5 exons. Lineage: Eukaryota; Metazoa; Chordata; Mammalia; Primates; Lorisidae. The record is from RefSeq and is a predicted model, not a curated record.
CGGGGCGACACCGAGCAGGGGCGCUGCGUGUCCUGGCAGUCCAGGCGAAGAGUGGGCACGGUCCCUGGGGCGCCCCAGCCGGAGCAGGAAGCCCUCUCCGCAUCCUUUGGGUCUUGGAGGUGCUGAAGGUCCCCGGAGUCUCCGAGGAAACUAUCAACAUCCCCGGAAGGGAGAACUCCCUAAACUGUUAGCAGCCCACGCCUGGGAUGGGGCUUCGUUGGCUUCUUACCUGCGCAAGAAGUGGGGCCUGAGGAACAGGACGCAGGGCUAAACUUGGAACAGUGACAGAAAAUUUGAGAACUCUCUACAGGAAGAGCAUCUUAUUGACCCCAAAGAGAGCCAGACCAGAAUGGAAAAGUUGUGGGUUCAAGAUGAGGACUGUAGAUCCUAAGGCAAGGACAAUGCUGGAUUGCACCUGGAUGAGAAGGAAAGCCCCAGGGCACUUCCAGCCAAUAUCCCAGUAUGUUAAAAUCUCCCACUGUGAUGGACUGAGAAUGAACAUGGAGGAAGUUUAUGGGACAGAAUCUCACCGUGCUGCCCAGGCUGAUUUUAAACUCCUGGCCUCAAGUGAUCCUCCUUCCUCAGCCUCCCAAAGUUCUGAGAUUAUAAGCAUGAGUCAUUGCACCAGGCCUAUUUAAAAUUUUUCAUUUAAAAAUACCAGGGAAAAAUCUUCCUUUAUGAUUGUUGAUUUUCUGAUUUCUCCUAUGAGUCUGUCAAUUUUUGCUGCCUAUAUUGAGACUUAAGUUGUUAGGUACAAACUAAGAUUCUCUCGGUUAGUAAAUCUAUCCCUGGUGCAUAUUCCUGUACUUUUACCUUUCUGUGCCAUUGUUGUGAAGUGUAUUUUGUAAAAAUGAAAUAGUUACA